AAUAUGUCAAAUUACAUGCGUGCAACCCAUUUAUGCCAUUUCUCUCUUUGUUUGUAGGCCUGACCGUUUGUCCUUGAACCGUAGAUGGUCAACAAUCCGCUAGCUGUCUUGCUCUGACUGGUGCACUGGACAUGAUUUCAAUAGUCAGCCAGACCAUGAUUGAGCUUAAGGAUUGUGCUGCGGAUGCAGCCUGUGCAGUUCCGGGAGAAAGUCACUGUCUUGGGCAAUGCGGUCUGGUAUCAGGUCUGGAUGAUCCUUGCCUGACUGCGGGUUUGUGAACACCUCAAUCCGACUCUGUGUCCUGAACAGAGGCCGCAGUGGUGCAGCGCUUGUGGACGAUCCAUCAACAUCCUGAAAGGUCAACACUUCACCAAGCUGGGAAAAUUGAUCCUGAUAGUCAUCCCCAGGCCUGACCGUUUGUCCUUGAGCCGUAGAUGGUCAACAAUCCGCUAGCUGUCUUGCUCUGACUGGUGCACUGGACAUGAUUUCAAUAGUCAGCCAGACCAUGCUUGAGCUUAAGGAUUGUGCUGCGGAUGCAGCCUGUGCAGUUCCGGGAGAAAGUCACUGUCUUGGGCAAUGCGGUCUGGUAUCAGGUCUGGAUGAUCCUUGCCUGACUGCGGGUUUGUGUACACCUCAAUCCGACUCUGUGUCCUAAACAGAGGCCGCAGUGGUGCAGCGCUUGUGGACGAUCCAUCAAUAUCCUGAAAGGUCAACACUUCACCAAGCUGGGAAAAUUGAUCCUGAUAGUCAACCCCAGGUAGUGGAAUGAAUGUACACUGAACUACAGUGGAAUCACACCCAAAUGACUUUCCUGCCACGACAUUAGUGUGGCCACUCGCGUAGGAAUUCCUUAGCAAACAUGCUCUUUUGCAUGGUGACUGUGGGCAUUUUUGCAACACUUAAGCUUUCAACGCUGGAUUUUAAAGAGAAUACUUAAUAAAAUGUCGCUAACAGGACUUAUUUAUAUGAGAGAGACUAUCUGAAUGCGCAUUAAGUGUCACUUUGUGUCGUUAGCUGUUGAAGGAGCGAUU
Molecule: long non-coding RNA, 1031 nt
Organism: Dreissena polymorpha
Lineage: Eukaryota; Metazoa; Mollusca; Bivalvia; Myida; Dreissenidae
Exons: 6
Source: RefSeq, a predicted model, not a curated record